RNAcentral lists this ribosomal RNA (378 nucleotides) under uncultured bacterium. RNAcentral describes it as "bacterial SSU rRNA". It matches the Rfam family "Bacterial small subunit ribosomal RNA", at positions 521 to 896 of the family's 1533-position model. The record is from RNAcentral.
UAAGACGUAGGGCGCGAGCGUUGUCCGGAUUUAUUGGGCGUAAAGAGCUCGUAGGCGGCUUGUCGCGUCGUCCGUGAAAACCUGCGGCUCAACUGCAGGCUGGCGGUCGAUACGGGCAGGCUGGAGUUCGGUAGGGGAGACUGGAAUUCCUGGUGUAGCGGUGAAAUGCGCAGAUAUCAGGAGGAACACCGGUGGCGAAGGCGGGUCUCUGGGCCGAUACUGACGCUGAGGAGCGAAAGCGUGGGGAGCGAACAGGAUUAGAUACCCUGGUAGUCCACGCUGUAAACGUUGGGCGCUAGGUGUGGGGUGCCUCUCCGGUGUCCUGUGCCGUAGCUAACGCAUUAAGCGCCCCGCCUGGGGAGUACGGCCGCAAGGCUA